AACUUAGCCGGUCUCGCGAAUGCCGUUAGGACUUAAGUUGAUCAUGGCUCAGAGCGAACGCUGUAGGUAGGCCUAACACAUGCAAGUCGAACGGCAGCACAGAGGAGCUUGCUCCUUGGGUGGCGAGUGGCGGACGGGUGAGGAAUACAUCGGAAUCUACAUCUGUCGUGGGGGAUAACGUAGGAAACUUACGCUAAUACCGCAUACGACCUACGGGUGAAAGCAGUGGGAUCUUCGGACCUUGACGCGAUUAGAAUGAGCCGAUGUCGGAUUAGCUAGUUUGGCGGGGUAAAGGNCCACACAAGGCGACGAUCCGUAGCUGGUCUGAANAGGAUGAUCAGCCACACUGGAACUAGANACACGGUCCAGACUCCUACCGGGAGAGCAAGACAAGUGUGGUGAAUAUUGGACAAAUGAGGCAGCAAAGCCCUAGAAUACCAAGCACAAUUACACAGAACGGUGAGGGUGAAAAGAAAGGGCACCUUACANNCNAGAUUAGGUUAAAAA
This 507-nucleotide ribosomal RNA is filed under the name uncultured bacterium. RNAcentral describes it as "bacterial SSU rRNA". It matches the Rfam family "Bacterial small subunit ribosomal RNA", at positions 1 to 503 of the family's 1533-position model. The record is from RNAcentral.